RNAcentral lists this ribosomal RNA (503 nucleotides) under uncultured bacterium. Its description in RNAcentral is "bacterial SSU rRNA". It matches the Rfam family "Bacterial small subunit ribosomal RNA", at positions 793 to 1300 of the family's 1533-position model. The record is from RNAcentral.
GUCCACGCCCUAAACGAUGCUGACUAGUUGUUCGGGAUUUACAUCCUGAGUAACGUAGCUAACGCGUGAAGUCAGCCGCCUGGGGAGUACGGUCGCAAGAUUAAAACUCAAAGGAAUUGACGGGGACCCGCACAAGCAGUGGAUGAUGUGGAUUAAUUCGAUGCAACGCGAAAAACCUUACCUACCCUUGACAUGUCACUAACGAAGUAGAGAUACAUUAGGUGCUCGUAAGAGAAAGUGAACACAGGUGCUGCAUGGCUGUCGUCAGCUCGUGUCGUGAGAUGUUGGGUUAAGUCCCGCAACGAGCGCAACCCUUGUCUUUAGUUGCUACGCAAGAGCACUUUAAAGAGACUGCCGGUGACAAACCGGAGGAAGGUGGGGAUGACGUCAAGUCCUCAUGGCCCUUAUGUCCAGGGCUGCAAACACGCUACAAUGGCCGAUACAAAGGGUCGCUUGCCCGCGAGGGCUGGCCAAUCCCAUAAAGUCGGUCUCAGUUCGGAUUG